UUUAUCGUAUGGUAAAUGCUUGAAAGGAGCAAUUGCUUCACUAUGAGAUGGACCUGCGUUGUAUUAGCUAGUUGGUGGGGUAACGGCUCACCAAGGCAUCGAUACAUAGCCGACCUGAGAGGGUGAUCGGCCACACUGGGACUGAGACACGGCCCAGACUCCUACGGGAGGCAGCAGUAGGGAAUCUUCGGCAAUGGGGGGAACCCUGACCGAGCAACGCCGCGUGAGUGAAGAAGGUUUUCGGAUCGUAAAGCUCUGUUGUAAGAGAAGAACGUGUGUGAGAGUGGAAAGUUCACACAGUGACGGUAACUUACCAGAAAGGGACGGCUAACUACGUGCCAGCAGCCGCGGUAAUACGUAGGUCCCGAGCGUUGUCCGGAUUUAUUGGGCGUAAAGCGAGCGCAGGCGG
RNAcentral lists this ribosomal RNA (409 nucleotides) under uncultured bacterium. Its description in RNAcentral is "bacterial SSU rRNA". It matches the Rfam family "Bacterial small subunit ribosomal RNA", at positions 182 to 578 of the family's 1533-position model. The record is from RNAcentral.